GGAAGACUUUAUUCAGGACUGUGGCAACAGGGAGACUAGUCAGGACUAUUGCAAUAGGGGAGCGAGAUGGAGCUCAACUUGGAACACAACAAGGACAAAGCGGAUUUACAGCCAAGGAGCAGGGCGAGGGGGUCAGUGGAUGGAAGAUUACUAAGAGGAGACAUCAAGGAUCCCGGGAUUCUUGCUGAAGGCAGGAAAGGACUUAGACGUCAAAGGUGAGGGAGGAGGAACUUGAUCAGAUAUCAAGGGUCAUCAGAUAGCGAGAGUGGGGCGAUUCUCACUAAACUGACAGCAAGAUUCUCGCUGAGACCGGGCCAGGCAGGCCAAAGGCAGAUGGGGCCAAAGUCAAGGCCUAGUCGAGAAGAGGGCUUAGAGGAGCCUAGGUAAAGUUUGGUCAGGAGAGUCUUCAUCAUCCCUGGCACCUCACCGUCUCUUGUUGGUUCCCUCAACCCCACCCACACCUCUCUGCACACAGUCCUUUCAUUAAACCCUCUUCAAUGAAACAUCUGAGCAAUGGGUCGUCCUCUCCCGCCAGGCCCUGACUGUGGAUCCUUCCCACCUCACAGACCCGUUUUGAGGAUCAAAUGAGACAACGGGUGCAAGAGGGCUUCCUGAGCCCUGAGGAUAAGGAAGUUUUCUUCAUGAUUGAGAGGAAUCUGGUACAGUGCAAAGGGCACAGGGCACGGGGUUUAGGCUUAGUCCCGGGUUCAAAUCCUGGCCGUGCCCCUUGUUAGCUGUGCUGAGGGGCAGGUGCUUAUCUUCCCUAGGCCUCAAGUUCCCACCCUAUUCAUCAAGGAAAGUACUUCUCCCUCAUGGAGUCCUGGGGGAUGACAGAGGAAACAAGAGGGUUUCUCAGAUGAGCGUCCUUGGCUGUUUGUCUCCACGGGGGAAGGUGGACUCUGACGUCAGGGAGCCGAGGAGCUGGGCCUGGGAAGCCUCGGUUUCUUGAUAUUGUCUGGGCACUAGUUUCUCUGUAAAAGGACUUCAAGGUCCUGGGAUCGCCCACAACUUUAGUGGGAGCCCAGAGUGAGGCCAUCUGGACUUGAACAAUUUGUAACUUCUAUUUGGUCGUAAAGCUCAGGGGGUCAAAGCUUAAAGAAACAAGCAUUUUUCAAUGAGUGUAACUAAGGAUCCAGGGUCCUGGAGAUGUGUGCCUUUAGUUUUAGCCCAUCUCUGCUGGGUUCACUGAAGGGGAACUGAUAGCCGGGCUGAUAGCGACUAAUAGCCGGUCACACAUUGGCCCAGCCCACCCAGCCACCACCCCAUCUCCCACCUGGGAAACCGGGAGCAGUUAGGGCUGGAAUCCUGGGGAAGAGAAGUUCUUUUUCUGUUGGGCUGCUGAGGGGCGAUGAGGCCAGCCUGGGAGUGGUGGUGGAGAGCCCCCCUGAGCAGGACAGCAGCACAGAGGGCAGGAAGCCAAGCCAAGAGGCUGGGAGGGACGAUCCCUGCUGAUGGCGUCGAGCACCCAGGCUGACAGCUGGAUGAGAAUGGAGACCCCUGCCUGCUUCUCCUGCUGCACUGUGCCCGGUGUCCAGAGCCGGCCCACCAGCCACAGGGCCUCAGUGAUGUGCACUGGGCCAGUGAACACUGCAGACCACACAGGAGCAUACUUCCAGGAGUGCUAAGCGCCGUCAGUUCCUUCACUGUCCAUGGAGCCCAGCUCUGUGCCCGGCCCUGACUUACACUGUAGGCAUGACAGCCGUGAAGGAGACAAACUCUGCCGCCCCCUGGAGCCGACGUCACAGAGGGGCAAACAGUGAGCAGAGCACAGCAGCUGGGCCGUGCUCUUCCAGUGGGAUCUAUGCCUGAUUCACCUCGGGUAGCGCGAUGGAGUCUGGCCAGGUGCCCGGCAUGUGGGCUUCACAGAGGGCCCUGCUCUCCGUGGGUGAAGGAAAAUCUUCUCUGCCCGCUCAGAUGCUGGGACCGUCCCAGGGCCGUCUCGUGAGCAGGUGGAAAGACUCUGCAUGCAGUGUCACCGGCCUUGCAAGCAGCAGCCAGCGGCCUCCUGGACAUCCUCAGGCUUCUGAGGAGCCCCUGCGGAAGCUCCCUGACACACGACCCUCCCUCUGGACCCCAAGAUGUCUGGCUUCCUGUGGAGCUCCCUUAGACAUGGAGCUGGGUGAGCAGCCCAGACCUCGGUCAGCACUCCCAGGGGGAUCGCUCUGCGCCACUGUCAUAAAAGGGAGAUGUCGUCCCAGUGGACAGGCCCAACUCCUGCAUUACAGUCAGAAAACUCAGCAUCACGUGGAAAUGACCCGAGGCUGCUUUGAGGGCCCAAACCCGUGCCGCAGUCCAGGCUCUGAGGUUUCACCUCAGUGGGGCUGAAAUGCAGACCUGCAGUGAGGGUGGCCUCUCCUUGUGAGCCCUGGCGCCUCCAGGUCAUCCUCUAGGUUCACUGAGCAUUUGGACACGAUGCUUCUUAGGCCACGGAGGUGCCAGCUCCCUUCUGAAUUGAAUCCAUGCAGAGUGCCACUCUGGUUGGCACAGCUCUGUGGGGCACUGGACUGAGGCCUCUCGCCCACACGUCACCGCCCAUCCAUGUGUCCUCCUUGCACGGCCCCCACUCACAGCGGUAGGCACCACCCUGGGCCAAACCCCCACACUGCUGGCUGGCUCCGGAUUCCGCGUCUCACCUCCACGUAAAAUGCAGGGGGGCAGCUCCACCUCUCGCUCUGGGAUGGGACCUGCCGGGACCUUACACGGGCUGUACCCUGUUCCGCUUGCCAGGCCGGGUCCUGCUGGGCAGGCAGCAGCACAGGCCUCGGAGCACCUUGAGCAGCCUCUCUGGCGUUGCCUCUCUGGCCCUGGCUGCUGCCCAAGGGGGAGGCCGGGGUCGCCCCACUGGGGCGCCCAGGCUACUGGAAGUCUCUGUGGCAGCUUCCCUCCAGGGCCCCAUGGCUGGGGCUGGCACUGUGGGGAGGAGGACGGCCUUGGGGACCCGCUAGGGGGUCAGGCUGGGGGUAGUGGUGCCUGACUCCAGGCGGGGCAGGGUGGUGCCAGGAGGCUCUGUGGCCUUCAGCACUGACUCCUGUUUCUCCUCGGGCCGCUGACGGCCAGCUUCAUGGAGCCAGGUGGGCAGAAUGGGCUCACUGCCACCAUGUCGUCCGGAGCGUGCCGAGGCCCUCAGCUGCACCAUGUAGGGUGGCAAAGCACCACAGCGGCUGCCCUCGGCAGAUGGGAGGGACCUCCCGGUGCUGGCGUGGCCAUCCCCCUGGGGCUUCUGGGACCUCAGGAUCAGGAACAGGGCCCUGGUAUUGUCAUACCUUCGUGUUCUGAGGGACUCCAGGAUUUGCUUCCACUGAAAACCCAUCUUCAUCAUUGCUUCUGUCACCCAGGAUUCCCUUGUGUCACAAGGCAGCUCCUAUACGGGCUCAGUUUCGGCCAGCCCUGAUUGACCCAUGGGUCUCCCAUGACCUCUUCUAAGGUCUUCCUCUUCCUGGGGUCAAGGGUCAGCAGGCCUCUCAUAAUUGGAUGCAUUCCAACAAAAGGAGCAUGGGGAGCGAGUAGGCCCCUCUGAGCAUGCUCUGCCGCACGUCACUGAAGUCCUCUCCCCAGAACGGCGGGGACCCGGUGAGCAUGACAUGGAGCAGCACGCCGAGGCUCCAGCCGUCAGCUGGGGGGCCGUCUUAGGGCUGCAGCCGCAGGACCUCCGGGGCCGUGUAGCCGGGGGUGCCACAGUAGGUGCUCAGUGGCCGGCCAGGGACCAUGCUGCUGAGGCCGAAGUCGGCCAGCUUCGCGUUCCCCUCCGGGUCCAGGAGCACCUUCUCCAGCUUCAGGUCCUGGUGCAUGAUGCCCUUGCGGUGGCAGUACUGGAGAGCUGAGACGAGCUGCCGGGACCGGCCGCAGGCCUCCUCCUCGGUCAGGGGGCCGUGCUGCAACCGAGGGUCGAGGGUGUCCCCUCUGCUGAUGUAUUCUGUGAUGAUGAACAGCGUCUCCUCCGUGUCGAUCACCUCUAGCAGCUUUACAAUGUGGGAUGGUGCAAUGUCUUCAAACUCUGCAUUUCACCGAGGAGUCUCUUGGCUCUGGAGGAGCUCUGCUCCUGCUUCGGGGUGAUUUUCACGGCAACCUCUGUCCUGGCCGGGAUGUGCAGGGCCAGCUUCACCUGUGAAGGAGCCCUCCCCAAUGGUCCUGAGGAGCUCGUAAUCGUGAAGACAGGUCUGCCUGCCAGAGAGGUGGCAGCGAGGCCUGGAAGCAUGGUGACCUCAUAACUACACUUACUGACAAUACCAACCAAUGAUGCUAACUAUGCUUACUAACUACGCCAACAAACAAAACGUUAGUCUGCUAACUAAUAGUGACUAAUGAUAGUAACAAGGCCACCGAUGCUUGCUAACUUACUAACUAUGCUAAUAAGUAACACUAACUAUACCAAAGAUGCUAACUCUACUAACUACACCAACAAUACUAACUAUACUAACUGUAAUAACAAUACUAACUAAAAAAAAUUGUUUUAAAAUGUGAAAAAGAACAAAAAAAAGCAAGGAAAAAUAAAAAAUGAGAAAAGAACAGGUUUUCAUAAAUUCCAUCACAGCGGCUCCUUAUGAGGUGAGAGCAGGAAAUGCACAGGCGUGGCUGGGGAUGAACUAUAGUGGUUGGCUCACUUUUUGGUCUCAAGAUCCCUUUACUCUGAAACAAAGGGACCCCAAAGAGAUUUUUUUUAUUUGGGAUAUUAGUGAUAUUUACUUUAUUAGAAAUUAAAAUCUGUAAGAUGCUUCAGUGGACUUUUCAUUUCUAAUUUAAAAAUCUCUCGUAACUUUUGGCUGUUAAAGAUUGCAAAAUAUCUACACUUAAAAUAUUCAACUCCUUUUCUUUAAACUCUGAUUAGUCUCAAAAUGAUCCUACCACUGAAGUGCUGUUAUAAUCCUAUAGGAAAAUGUUCUGUUGCAUGAGACCUGAAAAGGGACAUCAUUAAUGUUCAUAAAGCUGAGAGGAAGAGAGCUUUCCUCAUAUUUUCCCAGUAAGAUCAGGAG
Molecule: long non-coding RNA, 4970 nt
Organism: Equus asinus (donkey)
Lineage: Eukaryota; Metazoa; Chordata; Mammalia; Perissodactyla; Equidae
Source: Ensembl